This 311-nucleotide unclassified non-coding RNA is filed under the name Hevea brasiliensis (rubber tree). Lineage: Eukaryota; Viridiplantae; Streptophyta; Magnoliopsida; Malpighiales; Euphorbiaceae. The record is from RNAcentral.
GAGAUCCAGAAGUUUCAUGGAGUGAAUCAUGUGGUUCAUUUCGAGGUUUUUGCCACAAAGCUACAGCAUCUGUGUCCAUUACUUUCAUAGUAAGCCUUUGUUAUGCAGGGCUUUCGUUGCUUUCGUCUUAUCGGCUUUUUAGCAAGUAUGAUGCACCAGUUGGAUCGUACAACAACAAAGGGGGAAUUGAGAUUGCUAACUAUUGAGAUUUUGAAACUGAUCCCUCUUUAGUUUUGGUUGUUGGUGUUGGUUUUUACUAUAUCAUGUACACGGCUAAUGCUAAUAAAUUAGAUAAUUAGGUACAAUCAAGG